Molecule: ribosomal RNA, 451 nt
Filed under: uncultured SAR86 cluster bacterium
Lineage: Bacteria; Pseudomonadati; Pseudomonadota; Gammaproteobacteria
Description: bacterial SSU rRNA
Rfam family: Bacterial small subunit ribosomal RNA
Source: RNAcentral
GUCGUUAGUCGGAUACGAGUGCACCUUACCUUAUUUGCCAGCGAUUCGGUCGGGAACUAUAAGGGGACUGCCGGUGAUAAACCGGAGGAAGGUGAGGACGACGUCAAGUCAUCAUGGCCCUUACGAGUAGGGCUACACACGUGCUACAAUGGGGAAUACAAACGGACGCUAAGCCGCGAGGUGGUGCUAAUCCUAGAAAGUUCUUCGUAGUCCGGAUUGGAGUCUGCAACUCGACUCCAUGAAGUCGGAAUCGCUAGUAAUCGCGGAUCAGCAUGCCGCGGUGAAUACGUUCUCGGGUCUUGUACACACCGCCCGUCACACCAUGGAAGUGGAUUGCACCAGAAGUAGAUAGUCUAACCUUAGGGAGGGCGUUUACCACGGUGUGCUUCAUGACUGGGGUGAAGUCGUAACAAGGUAGCCGUAGGGGAACCUGUGGCUGGAUCACCUCCUU